Molecule: non-coding RNA, 157 nt
Organism: Camellia sinensis
Lineage: Eukaryota; Viridiplantae; Streptophyta; Magnoliopsida; Ericales; Theaceae
Source: RefSeq, a predicted model, not a curated record
AUCAUGAAGGCCAAGGGUUCUAUGGGUGAUCAAAAAGGCCUAUGGCCUAGGUUGGCGACCUCCAUUGCACUUGAGAGGGGUGCUCACCUAGGUAGCGAACUGGCAAAGCCUAUGUCAUAAUUUGUGGCAACGGGGCCUGCAUUCGCGCUAGCCUCGU